CGCGUUCAGCCCGACCCCCCGGGGCUGAACCCGACGGCCCCAGCCUCCUCCCCCCCGGCUGGGGCCGUCCUCU
Nocardia asteroides NBRC 15531 is the source of this 73-nucleotide regulatory RNA element. It matches the Rfam family "6C RNA". NCBI's taxonomy places the organism in Bacteria, Bacillati, Actinomycetota, Actinomycetes, Mycobacteriales, Nocardiaceae. The record is from Rfam.